UAUUUCAUAGCAAAGAAACUUGUCUUAAUUGUUAGUUUGUAAUUGAUUCGCUUGGUUACAGAGACAAAGAACCGCACAAAUGGACUGUAUUUAAGCAAAUGUCUCGCACCAGUGUAACAAAUGCUUCAUCUUUCAUGAAAUGUUUGAGAAUUGAUCUUUUUGGUGGAUUUACAUGUACAUUAUCUGGAUUUGGUGACUAGAUUUCAAAGAGGAUUACCUGUUUUUAAUGGCUAAUUAAAAAAGACAGUGAUUCUAGAAAGUAAACAAAAUAAUUGCUUGUCAUAUGGAUGUCCAGAUUUCAUUAAUACUCGUGAUUACUCUUAAUGAUAAACCAAAAUAAUGUCCAGUCUAAUAAAGUCCCACUUGAUGAGACUUUAAAAAUCUUGUUCCUUGUCUGUAUUAUAAUAUUUUACUUAAUUUUAUUCAAAAAUCUCCAGCAAACGAUUUACCAUAACAACUAUCUUUAAACAUUUUUUUUAUUUUGCAGGACAUUAAGAUGAGUAAUAUGUUAAGGACGCACAAGAAGAAGUCGUUAGAAGCUCAGAAAUGUCACAAAAGUCGACCGAUAUUGUGGUAACCAAUCUGACUCAAGUUUCACUGAAUACAAAGAUAACUUAACAAUUUUGAGACCAAAAGAAUCUGAGUUUAUGGACAUUAUUUUAUCCAAAGUCUCACUUAAACAUCGUAAUAUAUGUGUUAUUGGAGACAAUUAAAGGUUAAUCACUACUACACGUUAUUAUUACACUAACAUGAUUUGUUAUUUCAUUGAUUCCAGCUUUACAGUAGCUUAGUUGAUUGAUGCAUUGACUUACAAACAGCUGUUGUAAAUCAGAUUGAAAUGAUUAGUAAAUUGACAGACUGAUUGAAUCAAAGCAAAUCUUUAUUCUCAAUGUUUUAAAAUACUGAUUACAUAGGGAUAAAUUGAAAGGAAACACGGAUCAUGAUGAAAAGGAAACAUCAGUUAAUUCAGAUUAGUCUUUCAUUUGCAUAUCCAAUUGUUCAAUUGGCUGGUUCUUUCUCGUGGUGUUCACACUGAUCCUCAGAUGGGUGGGAUUCUUCAUGGCAAUGGCCUCCAGCAUCUUUCUCAUCGCAUGGAUGUUCAUGGCAUUUGUCAGUUUCACAAACUGUGUCUUCACAAUGAGUAUCCUCGCAGCAAGGAUCAACA
Non-coding RNA from Tetranychus urticae (two-spotted spider mite), 1165 nucleotides. The record is from RefSeq and is a predicted model, not a curated record. Lineage: Eukaryota; Metazoa; Arthropoda; Arachnida; Trombidiformes; Tetranychidae.